UCCCAUAUAGUGUAGUAGUUAGCAUACCAGGUUUUCACAUCCCUCUUGAAUCACCAAGAGACCGGAGAAAGACUUCCCUGGAGACCCGGGUUCAAUUCCCGGUGUGGGAA
Triangularia verruculosa is the source of this 110-nucleotide non-coding RNA. The record is from the annotation of a GenBank genome assembly. Lineage: Eukaryota; Fungi; Ascomycota; Sordariomycetes; Sordariales; Podosporaceae.